AUAAGUGUUAGUCACAGUGUUGGUCGUCCAUUGCUCAGUCUGUCCGUAUUUGCUGAUGAUAACAUCCUUCCAAAGAGCAUGAUCCUCCUUUACGUUUCUUCUAAAUUUAAACAUCCUUAUUUUGGUUUUAAGCCUUUCUCCAACCAAUCAGCCCUAGGAAUAGGGAAAAAAAUUGGAAACAACAAAGAGAGAAGAGUCUCAAGACCAUAAAAAAUCAUCUGG
RNAcentral lists this unclassified non-coding RNA (222 nucleotides) under Hevea brasiliensis (rubber tree). The record is from RNAcentral. Lineage: Eukaryota; Viridiplantae; Streptophyta; Magnoliopsida; Malpighiales; Euphorbiaceae.